This is a long non-coding RNA of Helianthus annuus (common sunflower), 278 nucleotides long. RefSeq lists it as uncharacterized. The transcript is spliced from 4 exons. The record is from RefSeq and is a predicted model, not a curated record. Lineage: Eukaryota; Viridiplantae; Streptophyta; Magnoliopsida; Asterales; Asteraceae.
AAUCCGCCCCCAUCCUUUUUCCUCUCUCACUCUCUCUUACCAGACGCGGUGUCUACAUGCGACGGAUUUCACCGGCGAUUUCACUAGAUCCGCCCCCAUCCUUCUUCUCAGGGUUUCUUUCUCUGGCGAUUCCGACAUCAGAUUUACUGGGUUCAACUUCUUUUAGGGUUUCUUUCUCCGGUGGAAAAAAGAUCCAGAUGAAGAUGGAGCGGUGGAGAUACCGUCGACUUAGAUCUACCUUACCACCGUCGAGCCAGAUCUGAGGUUACACGACUAAG